UCUUUUGUCCUUGGUUUUGUGUAGUAGAAAAUGCCCACUUCAUUUUUCUAUUGCACAAAACCAAGGAGAAAUGUACACAUA
This 81-nucleotide microRNA precursor is filed under the name Oryza sativa (Asian cultivated rice). RNAcentral describes it as "miR2868 stem-loop (osa-MIR2868)". The record is from miRBase by way of RNAcentral. Lineage: Eukaryota; Viridiplantae; Streptophyta; Magnoliopsida; Poales; Poaceae.